AUAGCGUAUAUUAAAGUUGUUGCAGUUAAAACGCUCGUAGUUGAACUUCAGACCUGGCCGGGCGGUCCGCUUAACGGCGUGUACUGUCUGGCUGGGCCUUACCUCUUGGUGAGCCGGCGUGCCCUUUAUUGGUGUGCGUCGGGGAACCAGGACUUUUACCUUGAGAAAAUUAGAGUGUUCAAAGCAGGCCUAUGCCCGAAUACAUUAGCAUGGAAUAAUAAAAUAGGACGUGUGGUUCUAUUUUGUUGGUUUCUAGAGUCGCCGUAAUGAUUAAUAGGGAUAGUUGGGGGCAUUGGUAUUGAGUCGCUAGAGGUGAAAUUCUUGGAUUGACUCAAGACCAACUAUUG
Molecule: ribosomal RNA, 347 nt
Filed under: uncultured eukaryote
Lineage: Eukaryota
Description: SSU rRNA
Rfam family: Eukaryotic small subunit ribosomal RNA
Source: RNAcentral